GCUGUUAUAGCUCAGUCGGCAGAGCACAUCCUUGGUAAGGAUGAGGUCGGCAGUUCGAAUCUGCCUAACAGCUCCA
RNAcentral lists this transfer RNA (76 nucleotides) under Bacillota bacterium. RNAcentral's name for it is "tRNA-Thr". It matches the Rfam family "tRNA". From Rfam's summary of the family: Transfer RNA (tRNA) molecules are approximately 80 nucleotides in length. Lineage: Bacteria; Bacillati; Bacillota. The record is from RNAcentral.